This 205-nucleotide non-coding RNA is filed under the name Firmicutes bacterium RBG_13_65_8. Its description in RNAcentral is "6S RNA". It matches the Rfam family "6S / SsrS RNA". From Rfam's summary of the family: E. coli 6S RNA was the first non coding RNA to be sequenced, but its function was unknown until recently. It consists of 184 nucleotides that fold into an extended hairpin structure with a large single-stranded internal bulge. The record is from RNAcentral. Lineage: Bacteria; Bacillati; Bacillota.
AAUGCCCUACUGUGUACGAUCGAACCGGCAAUGUGAUUGAGCCAACACCUUCACAUUGGGAGCCCGGCUCCGUGCGCAGCGUGCAAGCCCCCUCGGGCCGGCUCCGGCCGGCCCUUGUCGGGGAGGCGCAAAACGCAUGGGAGGGCACCCACCUGCGUGAGCGCAGGUUCAAGACACCCCGGUUAAACGGCACAGUGGGGUUUCU